RNAcentral lists this ribosomal RNA (268 nucleotides) under uncultured bacterium. RNAcentral's name for it is "partial 16S ribosomal RNA". It matches the Rfam family "Bacterial small subunit ribosomal RNA", at positions 1224 to 1500 of the family's 1533-position model. The record is from RNAcentral.
ACUACAAUGGCUGUAACAAAGAGAAGCGAAGCGGUGACGUGGAGCAAAACUUAGAAAAGCAGUCUCAGUUCGGAUUGAAGGCUGAAAUUCGCCUUUAUGAAGCCGGAAUUGCUAGUAAUGGCAGGUCAGCAUACUGCCGUGAAUACGUUCCCGGGCCUUGUACACACCGCCCGUCAAGCCAUGAAAGCCGGGGGCGCCUGAAGUCCGUGACCGCGAGGGUCGGCCUAGGGUGAAACCGGUGAUUGGGGCUAAGUCGUAACAAGGUACC